CCUACGGGAGGCAGCAGUGGGGAAUCUUGCGCAAUGGGCGAAAGCCUGACGCAGCAACGCCGCGUGCGGGAAGAAGGCUUUCGGGCUGUAAACCGCUUUCAGCAGGAACGAAAAUGACGGUACCUGCAGAAGAAGGAGCGGCCAACUAUGUGCCAGCAGCCGCGGUGAUACAUAGGCUUCAAGCGUUGUCCGGAUUUAUUGGGCGUAAAGAGUUCGUAGGCGGUCGAGUAAGUCGGGUGUGAAAAUUCUGGGCUCAACCCAGAGACGCCACCCGAUACUGCUUGACUUGAGUUCGAUAGGGGAGUGGGGAAUUCCUAGUGUAGCGGUGAAAUGCGCAGAUAUUAGGAGGAACACCGGUGGCGAAGGCGCCACUCUGGAUCGAUACUGACGCUGAGGAACGAAAGCAUGGGUAGCAAACAGGAUUAGAUACCCUGGUAGUCCAUGCCGUAAACGGUGGGCACUAGGUGUGGGUUUCUAUUAACGAAAUCCGCGCCGUCGCUAACGCAUUAAGUGCCCGCCUGGGGAGUACGGUCGCAAGACUAAACUUAAAGGAAUUGAACGG
This 562-nucleotide ribosomal RNA is filed under the name uncultured bacterium. RNAcentral describes it as "bacterial SSU rRNA". It matches the Rfam family "Bacterial small subunit ribosomal RNA", at positions 338 to 917 of the family's 1533-position model. The record is from RNAcentral.